CACAGAGCCCAACCCCAGCCAAGUUAGACUUCAGUCAGAGAAUCAGAAACAAAACCAGUGUCUGCCAGGAGACACUCUCUCUGCCUGGGAAUUCCUCCCCAUUGGGAGAAGUCUAUGUCAUCUCCCUCCACCUACGGUGGGAAAGUGUUGAGUUUGUUAGGCUGAGUGAGGGAUUAUCGCCAGGAACAUUGGUCACCUUAGAGCAUCCACACUGGAGGGUAUGUUCUCAGCAGAGGUGAUGACUACCUGAUAGCUGUGUAUUAUGGAGUUCUCUCCCUUGAGCCUCCCCAUCUAUAUGCUGUCCCAACCCCACAGAUUCAUGUGUUUGAACACCUGGUCCCCAGCUGGUAGCACUGUUUUGGGAAAUUACUUAAUCUGUGGGAGUUGAGGCAUGCCUGAUAGGGUACAUUGUUAGGGGUGGGUCUUUGAGGGUUAGGAUCUGGCCUUACUUUCUCUUCUGUUUUCUGCUUUCUUCUACAUCAUCACAGACUUCUAAUGCUUCAGAGCCAUCCUGCCAUGUCUGCCCCACCCUGAUGGACUAAAAUUUCUGAAACCAGGAGUCAAAUUAAACUUUUUUUCCCCUCUUCUGUUGGGCAUUUUGUCACAGUGAUGAGAAAAACCUAUCUGGUAUGAUGAAGGGGAAAGAAGUAAGAGUGAAACAGCAACACGAAUCAUGUAAGCCUCAGUCUUCAAAUAAUUCACCAACACAGUCAACCUUGCCUGAAAAGAACACAAGAAGAAAACAUCAAAGAACAAACCCUGAGAUACCAGCCAUGGGGCCUCCUGAUCAGUAAUCUUAGUUCAGGGACUGGAGAGAUCUGAAAAUUGGUGACCUGAAGACACUGAAGCACACCAAUAUAUACUAAACAUAAUGAAUUUUAUCUGGAAUUUGGAUGUGAGUCUUCUAUUUUAUAUCUAUUAGCUUUUUGGUCAACAAAGCUGAUUCUUUUCCUUUCACCUUGUCUCUUGAGAUUUUAUUAGUUGGCAGAAGAGUGGACUUCUCGUGAUUACAAAUUUUGCUGGCCAGCCAGGGGCAUCCUUAGACUGGAGAAUAUG
This 1056-nucleotide long non-coding RNA is filed under the name Mus spicilegus (steppe mouse). Its description in RNAcentral is "lncRNA (ENSMSIG00000020436.1)". The record is from RNAcentral. Lineage: Eukaryota; Metazoa; Chordata; Mammalia; Rodentia; Muridae.